This 311-nucleotide ribosomal RNA is filed under the name uncultured eukaryote. Its description in RNAcentral is "partial 18S ribosomal RNA". It matches the Rfam family "Eukaryotic small subunit ribosomal RNA", at positions 1470 to 1796 of the family's 1831-position model. The record is from RNAcentral.
CCCCUAGACGUUCUGGGCUGCACGCGCGCUACAAUAAUACGCACAGCGAGUAUCACCGAGCUCGAAAGGGCAAGGUAAACAAUAGAAAAGGUACUGUAAUGGUUAUAGAUCCUUGUAAUUAUUGAUCUUCAACGAGGAAUUCCUAGUAAGUAUGUGUCAUCAUCACGCACUGAUUACGUCCCUGCCCUUUGUACACACCGCCCGUCACUCCUACCGAUUGGGUGAGCCGAUGAAACUCUCGGAUGUAGGCUAUUCAUAGCCCGCAGAAGAGAUUUGAAUCGUAGCGCUUAGAGGAAGGAGAAGUCGUAACA